RNAcentral lists this ribosomal RNA (1369 nucleotides) under uncultured bacterium. Its description in RNAcentral is "bacterial SSU rRNA". It matches the Rfam family "Bacterial small subunit ribosomal RNA", at positions 28 to 1381 of the family's 1533-position model. The record is from RNAcentral.
GACGAACGCUGGCGGCGUGCCUAAUACAUGCAAGUAGAACGCUGAAGAGAGGAGCUUGCUCUUCUUGGACGAGUUGCGAACGGGUGAGUAACGCGUAGGUAACCUGCCUUGUAGCGGGGGAUAACUAUUGGAAACGAUAGCUAAUACCGCAUAACAAUGGAUGACACAUGUCAUUUAUUUGAAAGGGGCAAUUGCUCCACUACAAGAUGGACCUGCGUUGUAUUAGCUAGUAGGUGAGGUAACGGCUCACCUAGGCGACGAUACAUAGCCGACCUGAGAGGGUGAUCGGCCACACUGGGACUGAGACACGGCCCAGACUCCUACGGGAGGCAGCAGUAGGGAAUCUUCGGCAAUGGGGGCAACCCUGACCGAGCAACGCCGCGUGAGUGAAGAAGGUUUUCGGAUCGUAAAGCUCUGUUGUAAGUCAAGAACGAGUGUGAGAGUGGAAAAUUCACACUGUGACGGUAGCUUACCAGAAAGGGACGGCUAACUACGUGCCAGCAGCCGCGGUAAUACGUAGGUCCCGAGCGUUGUCCGGAUUUAUUGGGCGUAAAGCGAGCGCAGGCGGUUUGAUAAGUCUGAAGUUAAAGGCUGUGGCUCAACCAUAGUUCGCUUUGGAAACUGUCAAACUUGAGUGCAGAAGGGGAGAGUGGAAUUCCAUGUGUAGCGGUGAAAUGCGUAGAUAUAUGGAGGAACACCGGUGGCGAAAGCGGCUCUCUGGUCUGUAACUGACGCUGAGGCUCGAAAGCGUGGGGAGCGAACAGGAUUAGAUACCCUGGUAGUCCACGCCGUAAACGAUGAGUGCUAGGUGUUGGAUCCUUUCCGGGAUUCAGUGCCGCAGCUAACGCAUUAAGCACUCCGCCUGGGGAGUACGACCGCAAGGUUGAAACUCAAAGGAAUUGACGGGGGCCCGCACAAGCGGUGGAGCACGUGGUUUAAUUCGAAGCAACGCGAAGAACCUUACCAGGUCUUGACAUCUCGAUGCUAUUUCUAGAGAUAGAAAGUUACUUCGGUACAUCGGUGACAGGUGGUGCAUGGUUGCCGUCAGCUCGUGUCGUGAGAUGUUGGGUUAAGUCCCGCAACGAGCGCAACCCCUAUUGUUAGUUGCCAUCAUUCAGUUGGGCACUCUAGCGAGACUGCCGGUAAUAAACCGGAGGAAGGUGGGGAUGACGUCAAAUCAUCAUGCCCCUUAUGACCUGGGCUACACACGUGCUACAAUGGUUGGUACAACGAGUUGCGAGUCGGUGACGGCAAGCUAAUCUCUUAAAGCCAAUCUCAGUUCGGAUUGUAGGCUGCAACUCGCCUACAUGAAGUCGGAAUCGCUAGUAAUCGCGGAUCAGCACGCCGCGGUGAAUACGUUCCCGGGCCU